GAAGAAGGGGAGGACAGAGAAUGAGGUGGCUGGAUGGAGUCACUGAAGCAGUCGGCGUGGGUUUAAAUGGACUCCAGGGGAUGGUAGAGGACAGGAAGUCAUGGAGGAACGUUAUCCGUGGGGUCACGAUAGGUCGGACACAACUUAGAA
Non-coding RNA from Notechis scutatus (mainland tiger snake), 150 nucleotides. NCBI's taxonomy places the organism in Eukaryota, Metazoa, Chordata, Lepidosauria, Squamata, Elapidae. The record is from RefSeq and is a predicted model, not a curated record.